RNAcentral lists this ribosomal RNA (279 nucleotides) under uncultured bacterium. Its description in RNAcentral is "partial 16S ribosomal RNA". It matches the Rfam family "Bacterial small subunit ribosomal RNA", at positions 506 to 784 of the family's 1533-position model. The record is from RNAcentral.
UGCCAGCCGCCGCGGUAAUACGAAGGUCCCAAGCGUUAUUCGGAAUCACUGGGCGUAAAGGGAGCGUAGGCGGUGUGGAAAGUCAGAUGUGAAAGCCCAAGGCUCAACCUUGGAACUGCAUCCGAUACUUCCAUACUAGAGGAUUGGAGAGGAGAUUGGAAUUUUCGGUGUAGCAGUGAAAUGCGUAGAUAUCGAAAGGAAGACCAAUGGCGAAGGCAGAUCUCUGGACAAUUCCUGACGCUGAGGCUCGAAGGCUAGGGGAGCGAAACGGAUUAGAUA